RNAcentral lists this ribosomal RNA (253 nucleotides) under uncultured bacterium. RNAcentral describes it as "partial 16S ribosomal RNA". It matches the Rfam family "Bacterial small subunit ribosomal RNA", at positions 524 to 776 of the family's 1533-position model. The record is from RNAcentral.
GACGGAGGAUGCAAGCGUUAUCCGGAAUGAUUGGGCGUAAAGCGUCCGCAGGUGGCAGUUCAAGUCUGCUGUCAAAGACCGGGGCUUAACUUCGGAAAGGCAGUGGAAACUGAACAGCUAGAGUAUGGUAGGGGCAGAGGGAAUUCCUGGUGUAGCGGUGAAAUGCGUAGAGAUCAGGAAGAACAUCGGUGGCGAAGGCGGCAUCCUGGACCAAUUCUGACGCUGAGGAGCGAAAGCCAGGGGAGCAAACGGG